AGCGAACGCUGGCGGCAGGCUUAACACAUGCAAGUCGAGCGGGCCCUUCGGGGUCAGCGGCGGACGGGUGAGUAACGCGUGGGAACGUGCCUUCUGGUCUGGAAUAACCUUGGGAAACUAGGGCUAAUACCGGAUACGCCCUUUUGGGGAAAGGUUUACUGCCGGAAGAUCGGCCCGCGUCUGAUUAGCUAGUUGGUGGGGUAACGGCCUACCAAGGCGACGAUCAGUAGCUGGUCUGAGAGGAUGAUCAGCCACACUGGGACUGAGACACGGCCCAGACUCCUACGGGAGGCAGCAGUGGGGAAUAUUGGACAAUGGGCGCAAGCCUGAUCCAGCCAUGCCGCGUGAGUGAUGAAGGCCUUAGGGUUGUAAAGCUCUUUUAUCCGGGACGAUAAUGACGGUACCGGAGGAAUAAGCCCCGGCUAACUUCGUGCCAGCAGCCGCGGUAA
This 449-nucleotide ribosomal RNA is filed under the name uncultured bacterium. Its description in RNAcentral is "partial 16S ribosomal RNA". It matches the Rfam family "Bacterial small subunit ribosomal RNA", at positions 29 to 523 of the family's 1533-position model. The record is from RNAcentral.